UCGCGACUUUUUCGAUGUCUUUUGAUUGAAUCAUUAUAUUUUCUCAUUUGUUUCUUUCUCCUGAACCUUUUCUUCAACACCUACUUCUCUUCACCAGUUUUAUCAAGUGUUUGAAAAAGUUCUCUAAUUUGUGUAACUUUCAUUUUAAACGCGUACGUUUCGUGUAAAAAACGUCUCUCUAGAUACAUCCUUUUUUUUCAAGGUUGACUUUUCUCUGAAAAGAGGACUUGUCAGUGAGUGUCUGAUAAGUGCUGUUUGUGAAUUCUCGUUCAUUUCUACACAGAUUUCACGAAAACUGACAACCUCAGGAAAGAAACCAAGGACAAAGAUAAUCUUUUGGUACCACGAAAGUUAUAAGUUUAGAAAGGUCAUGAAGACGAACAGAAACUUGUUUGAGAUUACAUAAAGAAUGACUUCUUCAAGAAUCUAAACAAAGUGUCAAAGUCGACGCCAUCAUUUCUGACCACUUAGAGGAAAUGUUUAAGUAUUAAAUUUUGAAAAUUCUCUCUAUCUUAUGGUAAUAUCAUCUUGUAAUACGCAUGUGUGUUAAGACAGACGUUUGGUUACACAAAAACGCAUGCGUUUGAAAUUAAUUUUGUACCACAAGAUAGACAAUGUUUUAAAAUAUUAAAGAAAUCUUUAGGGAAGCGGUGGGUGUGGUGGGGGAGGUUCGAUGGAGAAACGAUCUCAAAUUGUAAUGUUGCUGUAUUAAAAUGGAGAGAAAUAAAUUCUAAUACUAUUUCGAUACAUAUAUAUAUUAAGCUGUUGCUGUAUUAU
Molecule: long non-coding RNA, 777 nt
Filed under: Stylophora pistillata
Lineage: Eukaryota; Metazoa; Cnidaria; Anthozoa; Scleractinia; Pocilloporidae
Description: uncharacterized LOC111335539, transcript variant X2
Source: RNAcentral